Molecule: ribosomal RNA, 468 nt
Filed under: uncultured bacterium
Lineage: Bacteria
Description: partial 16S ribosomal RNA
Rfam family: Bacterial small subunit ribosomal RNA
Source: RNAcentral
GACGAACGCUGGCGGCGUGCUUAACACAUGCAAGUCGAACGGAAAGGCCCUGCUUUUGUGGGGUGCUCGAGUGGCGAACGGGUGAGUAACACGUGAGUAACCUGCCCUUGACUUUGGGAUAACUUCAGGAAACUGGGGCUAAUACCGGAUAGGAGCUCCUGCUGCAUGGUGGGGGUUGGAAAGUUUCGGCGGUCGGGGAUGGACUCGCGGCUUAUCAGCUUGUUGGUGGGGUAGUGGCUUACCAAGGCUUUGACGGGUAGCCGGCCUGAGAGGGUGACCGGCCACAUUGGGACUGAGAUACGGCCCAGACUCCUACGGGAGGCAGCAGUGGGGAAUAUUGCACGAUGGGCGGAAGCCUGAUGCAGCAACGCCGCGUGCGGGAUGACGGCCUUCGGGUUGUAAACCGCUUUCGCCUGUGACGAAGCGUGAGUGACGGUAAUGGGUAAAGAAGCACCGGCUAACUACGUG